GCCCAGAGAGUGCUAGUGUUAGAGGGUUUCCGCCCUUUAGGGCUGAAGUUAACGCAUUAAGCACUCCGCCGGGGGAGUACGGCCGCAAGGCUGAAACUCAAAGGAAUUGACGGGGGCCCGCACAAGCGGGGGAGCAUGUGGUUUAAUUCAAAGCAACGCGAAAAACCUUACCAGGCCUUGACAUCCUCUGAAAACCCUAAAAAUAGGGCUUCUCCUUCGGGAGCAGAGUGACAGGGGGUGCAUGGUUGUCGUCAGCUCGUGUCGGGAAAUGUUGGGUUAAGUCCCGCAACGAGCCCAACCCUUGAUCUUAUUUGCCAUCAUUAAUUUGGGCACUCUGAGGUAACUGCCGGUGACAAACCGGAGGA
This 365-nucleotide ribosomal RNA is filed under the name Bacillus sp. (in: firmicutes). Its description in RNAcentral is "bacterial SSU rRNA". It matches the Rfam family "Bacterial small subunit ribosomal RNA", at positions 801 to 1170 of the family's 1533-position model. The record is from RNAcentral. Lineage: Bacteria; Bacillati; Bacillota; Bacilli; Caryophanales; Bacillaceae.